UAGGAAGGAAUUUAGAAAAACAAAUUGAGAAACAAUUGUAUGUUACAACAAGAUAGGCUAGAAGUCAAUGUAAUCUCAUUGCAAAAAUAGUUACAAAGAAAGAAAUGUUACCCAAUUCAUAAUAAACUAGGUAUAGUUUUAUCCUAAAACAAUAUCAUAAACUUCCUAAAGAUUACUUCCAUCAGAUGAUUGUCUUGUUCGCAAAGGAGACUCUGACUCAUUUGCAUAACGAGCUUGCUGAAAUAAUAUAAAACAUAUUAAUAAAAUAAAAUCAAUUACAUGUGCUCACAUUUUGAAAAUAAUAUAUAAAAAAUCAAUCAAAUAGAAUAAACAUGUUCUAUCAAUCAAAUAGAAUAAACAUAUUCUGUCAAAUAGAAUAAACAAUAGAAUACAAGUUAAAGUAGUGACAAUCUCUGGGCCCAAUGUUUGUUAAUAUUAGAACUGCAAUCAGACCAAACCCAUAAAAAAGGGGUUUCCAAAAAGAACAUAUACAUGACCUAUCCUUGUGUUGUGUCCCAUAUACGUUUAUCAGUAUUGGUGUUCUGUCCCACGACUUGCAGAAACCAUGGUCAGACAGUGUUUGUGAUGAACAAUACACUAAUAGAAUCAUUUCAGACUUUUAAUCAAGUUUGGAAUAUCUAUAUGCAUAUUAAACUACUGCAGUUACUACUUUACACCAUAUAUAAAAUGCAAUGGACCAGUACUUCUCACACUAUGCAUAUAAAUCUUACUGCAACAAUCAAUAAAGCUAACUACAACACAGAUACAGACAACAACAACCUAAUUCUCACACUAUGCAUAUAAAUCUUACUGCAACUAGGGGUGGGCAAACUGCAAUAUCUAUACUGUAUUAUAUCCAAAUUAUAAUUAACUAUAAAAUAAUUUAAAGAAACUGAAUUGAACUAAAAAUUAGUUCAGAGAAACUGAUCUGAACUUAAUUUUAGUGCAGUUCAUGCAGUACAAUUCAGUAAACUGCUUAAGAUCAAAGCCACAUUUUUCAUCACACGCUGGACCGUCCUCCUCUGGAUCCUCUCCUGUUCCCCUGUCACGCGGUCUCCCAGCACCUCCCCUUCUCCGACCACCUCCUCCUCCCCCGCCGCGCCCGCCUCUUCUCCGCCCACUCCCUCGCUGACGUCCAGUUUUUCCUCGACUACUCUCUCUUCGGCGACGGCCUCCCGCCCUCACCCUCUCCCCCCGCCGGCAACUCCAUCGACUCCUUCUGGAACUCAGGUGCGUCCUCCUCCGGUUCCCGCUCCACGGUGUCGUUUUGCGUUUUGCGUUUUGUUCCCCCUUUUCUCCUUCGUUCUUCCACUGCUCCUAGGCCAAGGUUUUUCAAUCUCUUUUGAAAGGGAAAUGGAAAAGCGUAUUCUCUUUCCAACGAGAAGCGUAGGAUGGUGGAAGAGGCUUCAACAGUGCGGUGACGGUAGAGUGUGGCGACGACAGAGUGCGACGACAGCAGAGUGCGGUGACAACAGAGUGUGGCAACGGCAAAGUGUGGCAAAGCCUUCCGCGGCGAGUCUUCGACAAUAGUGCGACAGUCUUCAACGGAGAUAGGAAAUAGAAAAACCGAACUCUAAUUGAGAAAAAUAGAAAAAUUGAUCCACAGUUAACUGAACUCAAAAUAAAAAAAAGUUCAGUAACUUUAAACUGAACUAUUAAUCAGUAUAAAUAGUUUUAAGUAAAAGUAGUUUAAGUUUUUUAAGUUUAAAAAAGUACAGAUAAACUGUAGUUUAAGUUUUUAACUUAACUGUGCCCAGCCCUAACUGCAACCAUCGUACUUAGAACUUAUCAACAUCUGUAAACUGAUUUCCUAUAUUCAAUUGCAUGUGCUCACAGUAAACAGGUAUACAUUUCUAUCAAACUAAUAGAAAUAAUAUUUUGUACGUUACUGUUAGGGAUCAAUAACAGUUGUCAAUAGACUAAGCUUAACCACACAAAGAAAUUAAUAAUCUAGCUAUGAAUGAUUUAUGAUAUCAAUUGGAAUCUUUAGGAAGUACGACAACUUCCUAAAGACAUUAAUAAUCUAGCUAUGAAUGAUCAGUAAGAGCGAUAACUAACUACUCCGGUUAUGUUUUUAGAUAUCAUGUAUCCAUCUCGUAUUCAUGACUUCCUAUUUAAUCAUAACUUCAUAUUUAGUUAUCUCUCACACGUCUCGUAGACUCAUGCUUAGAAUUAAUUCUUCUUUAUUUAAAUGUUAAAUGGCUUUCUGGUAGUAAACUAAGGAAAAAAUGUGAAACAAAACAGUGUAUUCAAAUUAUAAUCAGACUCUCCUUGGCCACAACCAAAUGAAUUUUGAAAUAAAAAAUGUAGAAAAUUACAUCAGACUCUCCAUGGUCCAACAUAAGUUUUGGACUCUUUUUUCCAUCUUUUAAACCAUUUUUGGCAAUGCAGCAGUGGUGUUCCAAAACUACAACUUAUACGCACGCAAACCAAACGAAAUUCAGAAGAACUUGUUCACUGCGCAAGGCAGAGAGGAUACUAACAAAAAUCACCUAUUGGGUAAAAUACUAAAAUAGAAUCAAUCUAAACUUGCAAAAACUAGCAUCACAAUAAUUGACAAAUGCCAAAUCCAGAUUCAGAAUUAAACUCGGUAACCAAAGAUGUAAGUACCUAAACUACACUAACACAUAUCUGUCAAUGAUCUAAUAACUGAAAAUUAACUUUGUAAAAUUUACAAGUUCAUCUCAUGCAAUCAGAUUCAAGAAAAUCAAUUCUGAAAUAACAAUCGCACAUAUGAAUGAUAAUCUAUGCCAUCCAGCCAAAUACAUUGCACAUAUGAAUGAGUUAGGAUCUUAUUACCUUUCCAAAUGAGAGAACGAGCUAAUAAAGAGUCACAAUUCAGAUUGUAAUACUUAAAAGAGAAACCUGCAACAUCAAUUAAGUAGUGUUUUGUUAUGGCAAUAAAAAUCAUACUUUUGCGCAACAAAAAUUCGCUGAUAAAUGUAUAUUAUUACUAUGUCAUCAUUACUAUUUGCAUCUUGAUUUUGAAAAGUCUACAAGUCUAAAAGAAACUAAAGAGAAAGAUCCAACAUUUGGGCCAUCAUCAUUGAAUUCCAUCGUCUUUAUAUUACCUGUCCUUGACGCAUGUGUUUCCAAUCCAAUUAUCCUCACCUAUGCGAACAUCACUAUCAAUUUUUUCAUACAGUGCUUAUGUAUCAAUAGGACUCGGUCUGAAUGUGAUUAAGGAGUUCUAUGUUUAAAUAAUACUUUUGUUUUUCAGUAAACAAAUAUUAUUAAAAUGAAAACAAAAAAAUAAAAUAAAAAUGAUAGGAGGACAAGAUACACCCAGGCAACAAAGACGAAAAUGAAAAGACUUGAGAUACAGAGGUCAUUACCACAUUCAAUCUGGAUAAAGAGAAUUAAUAAUAUUUUUAAUAAAACUAGUAUAAUUCUUUAAUGAACUUGACGUAUCCAGUUGAAAGAUUGGAUGAAAUAGAGAAAACAGUUUAUGCAGUAGCAGUACAACAUUAUCAUAACAAUUUGUGAUGCUUGAUAAUUUUGUUGACUUUAAUAAUCACUACAUCAAAAUUCAUACCUACCAUCACUUCUGAUUGAUUACCAGAGUAAGAGUUUUUACAUUGACAGUGCUUAGAAAUUAAACUAAUGAAACUAAAAAGACAAUAUACUUGCUAAUUAAUUGAUAAAAUAUUAAUAUACCACUCACCUUCAUUCAGUGUGUGAUACAACCUAAGAACAUCUACACCAGAAUAGAAAGCUCUGCCACAACCCUUCAAAGCAUUCAAUAUAGAAACUCAAACUCAACAGAAUACCAAUUCCAUAAACAUAGUAAAAAGAAAAUUAUUAUGAAUUACAAUAUAAUUAUGUCAUUUAGUUCAAUGGUAACUUAGUGGCGUGAAAANAACAGUGAUACCUUCAUCAAAACAAAUCCAAUGUNAGAGUAAUCUAAGGNCCAAAUAAAUAAUGAGGUGUUUUAAAAUUGUAACUUGAAAAGGCAAGCUAGCUCUCAACCACUGUGAGAUCUCAUUUGAAAGAGGUUUUAAAAUUGUAACCUGGAAGAGGAAACCUAGGUUUAAUGACGGUAAACCCUAGCGAUGAUGAGCGAUGACGCACAAUGGAGGACUUCAUGGCGACUGCAACUGACAACGCAACGGUGAGCGCAACGACGACCAUAGCAGCAACCACAACGACGACUGCAACUGAGGACUCCAUGGCGACUGCAACAGACGACGCAGCGGCGAGGACAACGACGACCGUAGUGGCGAGCAAUGGCGACCGCAGCGGUGAGGCAAUUGUAAGCGCAGCAGAGACGGUACGACGACCGCAACGACGAAGACGUUGAACCGUAGAUCGACGCUACCUAACGAGACCUAAAAAUGAUGAUGAUUUGAGUACGAACUGAGUUGUUUGCAGGGGAAAAACGAAAACCUUGCACGAGUUUAGGGAAAGCAAAGAAAAUGUGAGGGUUUGGAAAAUUUUAGGGAAAAGAAAUGCAACUUUCGAUUUUGAAAAGGGGGAAAGUAUGAGAGGGAAGAUAGAUUUGGAAAAUUUUGGAUACAGAGGGAAGUUAGAAACUGAAAAAUUGUAUUUUAAAUUUUAGAUGACAUAAACCUCCUCCAAAUAAUAUUAAAACCCCCCACAAUCAGGACUUAAUUAAAUCCUUUUAAUUAUUUUAAAUAAUUUUAAUUUGCGGAGGGUUUUUAUAACCCCCACAAUAUAACCUCUGCCUAAUAAUAUUUUAUUUGUAGUGAUGAAAGAGUUUUCCAUGGUAGAGAGAGCUCAGGGGGGAAUUUUUUCUAUUUCUAUUAGUGCAUGUUCUUUGAUAUUUAUCUUAGGUUACCCUUCACCGCUUUCCAAAUGAACAUUUUGAGAACCUUAAAUGUAGUCCCUACGCAGCUUCAUCCGAAUAGUUGGAGUUACAUUCAGGCGUUCGCCGUCAUGUGUCAAACCUUGGCUAUCAGACCGACGGUCGCUUUAUUUCUUUACUUCUUUAGGACACGUCCUAAUGCCAAGAGGGGUUGGAUGUCCUUGAGUUCCGAACCUAGGAACGCAAUUUUAAAACUGUUCACGAGUCUUUCAAAGACUUCAAAAAUCAAUUUUUUAAAGUUUCUAUCACCGAGUUGGGCCGUCCUUUCUUCUUUCAUGAGGAUGAUAGCCCUAGGUUCCCCUUAUAUUGGACCCAAGAACCCCGUACGAUGACAUCUUGGCCCAAGGAAAAGAUGACUGACGCUGAUUGGAGGCCUUAGGUGUAUUGGUUGAGUUACCCCGCCCGUUUUCCUCUCGAAAGAUAAUCAACUGUCUUGAGCAUGAUGAUGUCAAUUCGAGGGUGUUUGGUAUGUUCUUUUAUUGGUUGAUAGCAUAGUAUAAGCCAAAGCAAUCAGUAAAAGAACAUACCAAACACCCUCGAAUUGACAUCAUCAUGCUCAAGACAGUUGAAUAUCUUCCGAGAGGAAAACGGGCGGGGUAACUCAACCAAUAAGGAGCGUCGGUCAUCUUUUCCUUGGGCCAAGAUGUCAUCAUACGGGGUUCUUGGAUCCAAUAUAAGGGGAACCUAGGGCUACCAUCCUCAUGAAAGAAGAAAGGACGGCCUAACUCGGUGAUAGAAACUUUAAAAAAUUGAUUUUUGAAGUUUUUGAAAGACUCGGUGAAUAGUUUUAAAAUUGCGUUCCUAGGUUCGAAACUCAAGGACACCCAACCCCUCUUGGAGUUAGGACGUGUCCUAAAGAAGUAAAGAAAUAAAGCGACCGUCGGUCUGAUAGCCAAGGUCUGACACAUGACGGCGAACGCCUGAAUGUAACCCCAAUUGUUCGGAUGAAGCUGCGUAGGGGCUACAUUCAGGGUUCUCAAACCGUCCAUUUGGAAAGCGGUGAAGGGUAACCUAAGAUACAUAUCAAAGAACAGGCACGAAUAGAAAUAGAAAAAACCCCCCGGAGUUCUCUCUACCGUGAAAAACUCUUUCAUCUUCCCUACAAACAAUCAAUUUCACAGCAGAACCAUAACCUAGGGUUCUGAGGACACAUCUAUUGUUCGCCCAAUCUAAUAAAACGACUUUACUAAUGAAAACACUAGGGUAUUCACUUACGUCGUGUGAAGCCCACUCAUAAUCAACAAAGGAAGAAGAAAAAAGGUUCUCGAAACGACGACACCACCAUAAACGAAGACCCUCUUUCCAUUAAGCACCGAAGAAAUAACCUUGGCGACCUCAGCUUGAGAACUCCCUGAUGCACCAGUCGGGUCCCCGCGCCUUCUUUCCUCAGCAAGUGACGAAGGACAAUUUAAAUUAGCAAGGGAAGCCAUGGUUACCUGAAAGAAAAGGGGUACUUGGAAAUGCUUGCAAAGGUUGAGAGGAGUUCAAAAGGCUCUCGGCGAGUGAAGGCACAAAAAUGACGGUUAGGGUAACUAGAGUCUUUUCAAAAAGCCCAUUGCAUUAAUGGGAAAUACUAACAUAAUUGCUAUGAAAUUUGCAACGUUAGAUAAGGAAGAUCUAACGGUUCCGUUCUCGCGACUCUACCACUACCCCAAAGGCGGGAAAAGCUAAAUUAUUACUUGGAAAUGAAACGACAUCACAAAACGGUGCGUAGAAAGGACACCUCAUUAUCAGAACCACUUCAAAGUCCUACAGCUAACCUAACAAAGGAGGCGAACGGUUAACUCGGACUUGGGGGGAUGAUGUAUGGUAUGAUAUUACGACCGAACGAUUAUCUAGUAAAACCGAGCGGUCCAGUCAAAGUCAAUACGAAAUAAAAUAGGGCAGGAAAAGUCACGAAUGGGCCCGUGAUUGUCUAAAAAGGCCAAAAGCCCAAAUAACGGUAAAAUGAUUCGGGAAUAUCUAAUAUGGAGAAUAUACAAACAUAUUUAAGACCGGAUACACAGGUAAAGAUAGGUAGGUAAGUUCAGUUUUGUUCAUUUGGUUAUUUUUAUACUAAUUCUGUUUAUAUUUUAUUGAGCUUAUGAUAAUCUAUAAAUAAAGAGCCAGGGGCACAAGGCAGGUACGUUCUAAUCAUACUUCCAAUUCACGUUCUAUUUAUUCAAACAUUAGCCCUACUCUCUACUUUCAUAUACUAAGAAUAAUCAAAUUAAGAAUCGAGGUUCUUCUACUACACGCCUACCUUGGGCGUCCGAGUGCCAUUGCAGAUACCUCCCCCCUCCAAUCAAAGAUCGAAGUCUACUGAACGGUCAAGGCUAAAGGAAAACGAGCAGUUGAGAUUUAGGAAAAGCGAGCAAUUCAAUCAAUCAAAGCGUGAGAAAGCUAGAAAGUCGUGUCCACCAGGUCAGUCUCUUUCUAUCUAUUGUUGAAUUUUAUUUCCAACAUCAUCUAGCUCACAUCUUAUCAAUAAUUUUUAUAUGGCAAGGCAACAAUAUAAGCCAAGCAACAACAUUGUCAUACAAGAAUCAUUUUACAGAUCAAACAUUGUAAGUAUUCACACAUAGAUUAGCUCCCCUACAUACAAUCUCUUUUAACACAGUACAUAUAUAAUAGAUCAAACAUUACCAGGCAUUCAUUCCAUCCAGACAUAGAUUAGCUCCCCUACACACAAUCCUUUUUAACAUACAUUCAAGUAUAUCAUCAACUCAUACAAACAAUUCUUUUUAACAUAUAAUCACGCAUAUCAUUCCUACAACAGAGCAUGUCCCAUAUACUUCCAGUUUUAGAUUAUUGCAAACUAUCACUACAACCCAAUAACAUCACCAAAACACACAGUAUUUCAGAUAUUAUUAUAUUAAACAAGCCAACAGUUAACACAACAAUUCAGAUAUUAACAAGCCAAUAUUGGUUUAGCUCCCCAUACCUAAAUUUUGAUUCCUCUUCACAAGUAACACAUACUACCACCGAACCCCGUCACUCUCUCAGCCCUCUCUUUCACUCUUAGGUUUCUCAACAUGCUUGAUUGGAUGUCUCUAUUCUUCCUUCUUCCGCCCCUUUUUCAGGUUUCAUUUAAAGCCCCAAUUUGGAUCCUCGAAACACUAAAAUCAUGAUCAGCAUCCUCUGAUUCCAUCUUCCCCUUUUUAAUACUCUUAUUUUGUUUCUCUUUGAAUCAUUGAAUGCUUCCUCAGGCUGUUAUGCUCCUCCUGACCUUAGGAUUUACAAAACCAAAAAGAAAAUAGAAGAAAGAGAAGAGAGAAGUAGUAUCGGAAGAGACGUGAAAGUGCAGAGUGGACGGAAGAUGGAAAACAAGUGAUGAAGGCGCCACGAAAUAAAUUAGGGCAGGCUGGGAAAUAUUAAUACUUACCGAUGGUUUGAUAAAAUAACUGCCGGAAAUAUCUUCAAAAAAUUAAAAAAUAAAAUAUAUUUUAGUUGCCUUUUGACUUGAAACCGCCGAAAAAUUUAAAGAAAAAUAAUAAUAAAAAA
This 8308-nucleotide long non-coding RNA is filed under the name Vigna radiata. RNAcentral describes it as "long non-coding RNA (VRAD_LNC005232)". The record is from RNAcentral. Lineage: Eukaryota; Viridiplantae; Streptophyta; Magnoliopsida; Fabales; Fabaceae.